Molecule: non-coding RNA, 75 nt
Organism: Mycena leptocephala
Lineage: Eukaryota; Fungi; Basidiomycota; Agaricomycetes; Agaricales; Mycenaceae
Source: the annotation of a GenBank genome assembly
GGACGCAUGGCUCAGUUGGUAGAGCCCCAGUAGCGCGUAAUCUGGAGGUCCCAGGUUAAAUCCCUGGCCUGACCA